GAUGAACGCUGACAGAAUGCUUAACACAUGCAAGUCAACUUGAACUUCGGUUUGGGUGGCGGACGGGUGAGUAACGCGUAAAGAACUUGCCUCACAGAUAGGGACAACAUUUGGAAACGAAUGCUAAUACCUGAUAUUAUGAUUAUAUGGCAUCGUAUAAUUAUGAAAGCUAUAUGCGCUGUGAGAGAGCUUUGCGUCCCAUUAGCUAGUUGGAGAGGUAACGGCUCACCAAGGCGAUGAUGGGUAGCCGGCCUGAGAGGGUGAUCGGCCACAAGGGGACUGAGACACGGCCCUUACUCCUACGGGAGGCAGCAGUGGGGAAUAUUGGACACUGGACCAAGAGUCUGAUCCAGCAAUUCUGUGUGCACGAUGAAGUUUUUCGGAAUGUAAAGUGCUUUCAGUUGGGAAGAAAAAAAUGACGGUACCAACAGAAGAAGUGACGGCUAAAUACGUG
Molecule: ribosomal RNA, 454 nt
Filed under: uncultured bacterium
Lineage: Bacteria
Description: partial 16S ribosomal RNA
Rfam family: Bacterial small subunit ribosomal RNA
Source: RNAcentral